GGAAAAGGAAAAUAUGUGAGUUCCGGUGAGAGGAAAAGAAAAAUAUGUGAGCUGCAGGGGCACAGUUGUCGAUGUUACGCCGCGUGGAAUUACGACGUGAUGUAGAAAACCAUCAACAAUGUUCCAGUUGAUGAAUGGACAUGGAUGGAUGGUGAUGCUCAGGAUGAUAAACAAUCUCCUGAGAGUGAAUAUGUCCCCCCCCCCCCCCCCCCAGGCGUAUAAAUGUAGGCUACUUUGCUAGUGUCGUGGUAUCAUCCUAUUAGGGUAUCCGACACAAAGUGGUGGCCCUUUAUCAAUCAAUAAGGGGGGUUUUCAGAAGAGGGUGAAUGGAUGAGGACAGUUAUGAACAUUUAUCUGCUACAGUUAGAUCAUUUCUGCAUGAAUGCAUUGGAAUGCUUUAUCUUUUAUUUUGCCUAAUGUAAUUUUAGAAGUUCUAAUGAUUUGUGCAACAGUUGUAAACUUUUCAAGUCAAUCUAGUUCAUCAGUAAACUAACAAACUGUAUUUCUAUAUCGUAUUAUAUUUUCAUUAUCAAAA
Molecule: long non-coding RNA, 535 nt
Organism: Ostrea edulis (European flat oyster)
Lineage: Eukaryota; Metazoa; Mollusca; Bivalvia; Ostreida; Ostreidae
Exons: 2
Source: RefSeq, a predicted model, not a curated record